GACGAGGGGUCCUAGCGUUGUUCGGAAUCAUUGGGCGUAAAGCGAGUGUAGGCGGCCAUUUAAGUCAGGUGUGAAAGCCCCGGGCUCAACCCGGGAAGUGCAUCUGAUACUGGAUGGCUUGAGUACUAGAGAGGGUAGUGGAAUUCCUGGUGUAGUGGUGAAAUACGUAGAUAUCAGGAGGAACACCGGUGGCGAAGGCGGCUACCUGGCUAUGUACUGACGCUAAGACUCGAAAGCGUGGGGAGCAAACAGG
This 253-nucleotide unclassified non-coding RNA is filed under the name uncultured Pseudobdellovibrionaceae bacterium. Its description in RNAcentral is "uncultured Bdellovibrionaceae bacterium contains 16S-23S intergenic spacer region". It matches the Rfam family "Bacterial small subunit ribosomal RNA", at positions 524 to 776 of the family's 1533-position model. The record is from RNAcentral. Lineage: Bacteria; Pseudomonadati; Bdellovibrionota; Bdellovibrionia; Bdellovibrionales; Pseudobdellovibrionaceae.